This is a non-coding RNA of Myotis davidii, 75 nucleotides long. The record is from Rfam. Lineage: Eukaryota; Metazoa; Chordata; Mammalia; Chiroptera; Vespertilionidae.
GGCGGUUCUCGGGUGAUGCACCCUGGAAUCGGGCUCCCUCCUCUCUGGUUCCGGGUGUGUCACCCAAGAACCACA